ACUCCUACGGGAGGCAGCAGUGGGGAAUAUUGCACAAUGGGGGAAACCCUGAUGCAGCCAUGCCGCGUGUGUGAAGAAGGCCUUGGGUUGUAAAGCACUUUCAGUAGGGAGGAAGGUAGUGUAGUUAACACCUGCAUUAUUUGUACGUUACCUACAGAAGAAGCACCGGCUAACUCCGUGCCAGCAGCCGCGGUAAGUACGGAGGGUGCGAGCGUUAAUCGGAAUUACUGGGCGUAAAGCGCAUGCAGGCGGCCUGUUAAGUCAGAUGUGAAAGCCCGGGGUCUUAACCUCGGAAUUGCAUUUGAAACUGGCAGGCUAGAGUCUUGUAGAGGGGUUAGAAUUUCAGGUGUAGCGGUGAAAUGCGUAGAGAUCUGAAGGAAUACCAGU
This 387-nucleotide ribosomal RNA is filed under the name uncultured bacterium. RNAcentral describes it as "bacterial SSU rRNA". It matches the Rfam family "Bacterial small subunit ribosomal RNA", at positions 335 to 713 of the family's 1533-position model. The record is from RNAcentral.